CGAACGCUGGCGGCGCGCUUAAUACAUGCAAGUCGAACGAGAAGCCAGAGCUUGCUCUGGUGGAAAGUGGCGAACGGGUGAGUAACACGUGAGAAACCUGCCCCAAAGAUUGGGAUAAGCCUUGGAAACGAGGUCUAAUACCAAAUACCUUCCUUUAGCACAUGUUAAAAGAAGAAAUGCUCCGGCGCUUUGGGAUGGUCUCGCGAUCUAUCAGCUUGUUGGUGAGGUAACGGCUCACCAAGGCAUCGACGGAUAGCUGGUCUGAGAGGAUGUCCAGCCACAUUGGAACUGAGACACGGUCCAAACUCCUACGGGAGGCAGCAGUAGGGAAUCUUGCACAAUGAGGGAAACCUUGAUGCAGCGACGCCGCGUGCGGGACGAAGGCCCUAGGGUUGUAAACCGCUUUCAGUAGGGACGAAAGUGACGGUACCUACAGAAGAAGCCCCGGCCAACUAUGUG
RNAcentral lists this ribosomal RNA (459 nucleotides) under uncultured bacterium. Its description in RNAcentral is "bacterial SSU rRNA". It matches the Rfam family "Bacterial small subunit ribosomal RNA", at positions 30 to 507 of the family's 1533-position model. The record is from RNAcentral.